CGGUGGCGAUGCGCUUAGGGGUAACACCCGUUCCCAUCCCGAACACGAUGGUUAAGACCUAAGCGGCCGAUGGUACUUUACUGGAGACGGUACGGGAGAGUAGGUGGCUGCCGGAUU
This 117-nucleotide ribosomal RNA is filed under the name Dorea formicigenerans. Lineage: Bacteria; Bacillati; Bacillota; Clostridia; Lachnospirales; Lachnospiraceae. RNAcentral also lists the same sequence under 2 other names. The record is from RNAcentral.